This is a small nucleolar RNA of Triplophysa rosa, 217 nucleotides long. RefSeq annotates it as small nucleolar RNA U3. The record is from RefSeq and is a predicted model, not a curated record. The transcript has a single exon. Lineage: Eukaryota; Metazoa; Chordata; Actinopteri; Cypriniformes; Nemacheilidae.
AAGACUAUACUUUCAGGGAUCAUUUCUAUAGUUAUUAACUAGGAAAUGUGUUUUUAAAAGAGAUUAGUCUCCCUAACUACGAUGAAGAGUUUUGAAAUCCUUUUCUGAGCGUUAAUCGGGCACUGAGAAGUGAAUUAAUUCACACGCUCGGUGUUAUUGAUGAUCGUCCCGUAUCACUUUAAGGUGAUAUGGGAGAAAAGGGUUUUAGCGGAGUAGU